Molecule: long non-coding RNA, 924 nt
Filed under: Lonchura striata (white-rumped munia)
Lineage: Eukaryota; Metazoa; Chordata; Aves; Passeriformes; Estrildidae
Description: domestica (Bengalese finch) lncRNA (ENSLSDG00000000968.1)
Source: RNAcentral
ACCGCCCCCCUGGACGGCGUCAUCCUGGUGGUGGCGGCCACCGACGGGCAGAUGCCGCAGACCCGCGAGCACCUCCUGCUGGCACGGCAGGUGAGCACAGGUAAAGGGACAGGUAAAGGGACAGGUGGGACACGCGGCCACCGACGGGCAGAUGCCGCAGACCCGCGAGCACCUCCUGCUGGCACGACAGGUAAACUGCAGGUGGGACAGGUGGGACAGGUGAGACAGGUGAGAGACAGGUAAAGGGACAGGUGGGACACACAGCCACCGACGGGCAGAUGCCGCAGACCCGCGAGCACCUCCUGCUGGCACGGCAGGUGAGACAGGUGGGACAGGUGGGACAGGUGAGACAGGUGAGACAGGUGAGACAGGGACAGGUGAGACAGGUAAAGGGACAGGUAAAGGGACAGGUAAAGGGACAGGUAAAGGGACAGGUAAAGGGACAGGUAAAGGGACAGGUGAGACAGGUAAAGGGACAGGUGAGAUGGGACAGGUGGGACAGGUAAAGGGACAGGUGAGACAGGGACAGGUGAGACACACGGCCACCGACGGGCAGAUGCCGCAGACCCGCGAGCACCUCCUGCUGGCACGGCAGGUAAACUGCAGGUGGGACAGGUGAGACAGGGACAGGUGGGACAGGUAAAGGGACAGGUGAGACAGGUGAGAGACAGGUAAAGGGACAGGUAAAGGGACAGGUAAAGGGACAGGUGAGACAGGUGAGACAUGGACAGGUGGGACAUGGACAGGUGAGACAGGUGGGACAGGUAAAGGGACAGGUGGGACAUGGACAGGUGGGACAUGGACAGGUGGGACAUGGACAGGUGGGACAUGGACAGGUGGGACAGGUAAAGGGACAGGUGGGACAUGGACAGGUGGGACAUGGACAGGUGUGUCAGCACCUCCUGCUGGCACGGCAGGUGAGGA